AAUUCCAGAUAUAGCCAAGUUGCCAACCGAGAACAGCCAUCACACCACUUCUGCUAAAGGGCACAGACUCCUCACCUGAGUCCACAAGGUUGAAGACACAGAGACAAGUUAUUGACCUAAACCUGCAUUCUCUUUGGGUUCCAGAAAGAACCAAAGUCUCAGCUGUCCCAGUUUCAUCUUCUGGAACCACACUGAAUGAGUCCAGUACUGUUCCCAUCUAAGCACACGUUGGAGACCUGAGAAUGGUGUCUGGCAUUGGGAGUAAAUGCAGUUACCAAAACUCUACCCAGCAGCACCAGGAACUCUGGCUUCCGAUUGAAAAUCCCCUAAGGAUGGACUGUCAAGCACCUACCCAUAAGUGGAGAGCCCAGGGUUAAGGAGAUACUGGGGCAUCUGGUCAUUGUCUCUCACUGAAAGAAGAAAACAAGGGGCUGGAGAUGCGACUUUGUGGUUAAGAACACAUGUUCUUGCUGAGGACCAAAGUUCAGUUCCCAGCACCUAACUGGGUGGCUCACAAGCACCUAUAAACUCCAAUUCCAAGGAAUUCGAUGUCCUCUU
Molecule: long non-coding RNA, 558 nt
Organism: Alexandromys fortis (reed vole)
Lineage: Eukaryota; Metazoa; Chordata; Mammalia; Rodentia; Cricetidae
Exons: 3
Source: RefSeq, a predicted model, not a curated record